RNAcentral lists this transfer RNA (71 nucleotides) under Oreichthys cosuatis. Its description in RNAcentral is "tRNA-Gln". It matches the Rfam family "tRNA". Rfam says of the family: Transfer RNA (tRNA) molecules are approximately 80 nucleotides in length. Their secondary structure includes four short double-helical elements and three loops (D, anti-codon, and T loops). Further hydrogen bonds mediate the characteristic L-shaped molecular structure. tRNAs have two regions of fundamental functional importance: the anti-codon, which is responsible for specific mRNA codon recognition, and the 3' end, to which the tRNAs corresponding amino acid is attached (by aminoacyl-tRNA synthetases). tRNAs cope with the degeneracy of the genetic code in two manners: having more than one tRNA (with a specific anti-codon) for a particular amino acid; and 'wobble' base-pairing, i.e. permitting non-standard base-pairing at the 3rd anti-codon position. Lineage: Eukaryota; Metazoa; Chordata; Actinopteri; Cypriniformes; Cyprinidae. The record is from RNAcentral.
UAGAAAGUGGUGUAAAGGAAGCACUUGGAGUUUUGAUCUCCACAGUAUGGGUUCGAAUCCCUUUUUUCUAA